CUCAAAGCUACCUGAAGCAGAAGGCAUGAGAGUGAAGCAGUGCUAAAAGUCAGUGGAAAGUUCUUGGUUUCGAGGCUUUUCCAUCCAACAGGGCUUUUUUAAGUCUUCUCCAGAAGAUGUGCCUCCCCAGAGGAUUGUCCUCCCAUUCCAGGUGAAUGGAAUGAUGUGAUGAAGAAACUUUGAGCUUUGAAGUAAGAGAUGUAAGCUUGACUCUAGUCUGGUAAGGGAUGGACAUUUGGCAUUUGGUAACUAACUGGUGUGCUAUUGCUUGGGAAAGACUAUUUCUUCCAAUCUAUAAACAGAGAUCAUGACAGAAAAUCACAACCAACCAAAAUGCAGAAUUCUGGAGUCCAGUACCAAUGGAAGCACUUAACAAUACAACCCCAACAUCUACAGAUGAGGGAUCACUGCAGCAGAGGAGGCUGAAAGAUUAUGAUUCAAAAGGUUAUGAACUUUACUGCAAUACUGUGUUCCUUAAUGUCAAAAGCUACACCCAUAAAGUUUCACUAACAUGACUGCCUGCAAAUGAGAUGUAAGAGGCCAACAGGUACACAUAUCCAGGAGUCUUUAACCCUACACAAAGAACUAAAGAAUACUGAGUGUGGGACAAAGUUUUGCUUGUGUGCUGGUUUGCCUUUAUAAUAUCUUCUCUGAACCUCAGUAGUUUUAUG
Molecule: long non-coding RNA, 671 nt
Organism: Mus caroli (Ryukyu mouse)
Lineage: Eukaryota; Metazoa; Chordata; Mammalia; Rodentia; Muridae
Source: RefSeq, a predicted model, not a curated record